This 480-nucleotide long non-coding RNA is filed under the name Ananas comosus (pineapple). Its description in RNAcentral is "long non-coding RNA (ACOM_LNC035197)". Lineage: Eukaryota; Viridiplantae; Streptophyta; Magnoliopsida; Poales; Bromeliaceae. The record is from RNAcentral.
AUACUAGGCCAAUUUGCAAAAAUUUACUAGUUUUGGACUUUUGCAAAAUAGACUAUCUUUUUCGUUUUUACAGAUUUGAUCCGAUUUUUCAGCAAACUAACCAAAAUAUUCUUGUACUUUUUUCUCUUUUCUUUUUUUUUCGUUCUUUUUUUCUUUCUCUUCCCAGAGAGCAGAAGAGGUGGAGGCGGAGGCGGAGGCGGAGGCGGCCCGUUUCGGUUUUGUCCGUCGUAUCCUUACCCUCGCCCGCGCACCCCCGCAUUCCUCGCCGACCCUCCUCCACCGACUUCGACAACGACGCCUAUCUCACCCUCCCUCCUACUCCUUCUUCUUUCUCCUUCGUCUUUUCUUCUCUGCCUGCCUUCCUAGAUCUUGCUUAAUCUCUCAACUAUUUUUCUCUCAUCUGAAUCUGUAAUAUUCGAGUCGAAUCGAAGACCAUCAUCCUCAACGCCGUCCUCGUCUCAACUCGGUCUCCAUCACCAA